UACGUAGGGGGCAAGCGUUAUCCGGAUUUACUGGGUGUAAAGGGGGCGCAGACGGCGAUGCAAGCCAGGAGUGAAAGCCCGGGGCCCAACCCCGGGACUGCUCUUGGAACUGCGUGGCUGGAGUGCAGGAGGGGCAGGCGGAAUUCCUGGUGUAGCGGUGAAAUGCGUAGAUAUCAGGAGGAACCCCGGUGGCGAAGGCGGCCUGCUGGACUGCAACUGACGUUGAGGCCCGAAGGCGUGGGGAGCAAACAGG
This 253-nucleotide ribosomal RNA is filed under the name uncultured bacterium. RNAcentral describes it as "partial 16S ribosomal RNA". It matches the Rfam family "Bacterial small subunit ribosomal RNA", at positions 524 to 776 of the family's 1533-position model. The record is from RNAcentral.